Vicia villosa (hairy vetch) is the source of this 611-nucleotide long non-coding RNA. RefSeq lists it as uncharacterized. The transcript is spliced from 2 exons. The record is from RefSeq and is a predicted model, not a curated record. NCBI's taxonomy places the organism in Eukaryota, Viridiplantae, Streptophyta, Magnoliopsida, Fabales, Fabaceae.
UAAUACACAUGUAGAAAAUUGUUCACGACAACUUUGUUGAGGCAGUCAAGUUUGUAUUGGUUUUCCUCUUUUCCCUGUUGUCUAUAUUGCUUUGGCUUUAGUACUUAGUGGUUAGGCUGAUUUUUGUAGUCAGUACACUUAUAUGGGCUAGCGAAGAAAAUGGAUAUCACAGUUAUUACUUCCUCACAACGUCCUGCUUUAAUACCAUUUCAUUCCAUGGAAUUGCGGAUGAUUGAUGGCGAGGGUAAUUGGCAACUCCGUUUGAUCAAGCAAUGAUACUCUGGUAGGUAGUGUUGAUGCAGACUCUCAUAGUUAGAAUAUUUUGCGUUGUCUUGAACAUACUGGCUUAUCGUGAGCGUAAAUAAGGUUGGCCGAUGAUGGUAUCCCCAUUUUCUUCCAUUUUCGUGAGCGUAAACAAGGUUCAAGUUUUGCAGCACCAACCAAAAUGGUUGAUACGAAGUUGAAACAAAACUAUUUAUAGCUGCAGUAUAUUAAGAUCAAUCAUGUACAGUCUCCCCCUUAUAUUCCUAGGUAGUUGAUAUUUAUUCAUAUUUUGUAACCAUUGUUUUAAUAAUAAAAAAAAUAGCUUGAAAUAUAGUAGCUCUUUGAUA